RNAcentral lists this ribosomal RNA (388 nucleotides) under uncultured bacterium. Its description in RNAcentral is "bacterial SSU rRNA". It matches the Rfam family "Bacterial small subunit ribosomal RNA", at positions 28 to 417 of the family's 1533-position model. The record is from RNAcentral.
GACGAACGCUGGCGGCGUGCUUAACACAUGCAAGUCGAGCGGUAAGGCCCUUUCGGGGGUACACGAGCGGCGAACGGGUGAGUAACACGUGGGUGACCUGCCCUCAGCUCUGGGAUAAGCCUGGGAAACUGGGUCUAAUACUGGAUAUGACUCCACGGUGCAUGUCGUGGGGUGGAAAGCCUUGUGCGGCUGAGGAUGGGCCCGCGGCCUAGCAGCUUGUUGGUGGGGUGAUGGCCUACCAAGGCGACGACGGGUAGCCGGCCUGAGAGGGCGACCGGCCACACUGGGACUGAGACACGGCCCAGACUCCUACGGGAGGCAGCAGUGGGGAAUCUUGCGCAAUGGGCGAAAGCCUGACGCAGCGACGCCGCGUGAGGGAUGACGGCCU